AGAGUUUGAUCAUGGCUCAGGAUGAACGCCGGCGGUGUGCCUAAUACAUGCAAGUCGAGCGCACUGGCCCAACUGAUAUGACGUGCUUGCACUGAAUUGACGUUGGAUUCCCAGUGAGCGGCGGACGGGUGAGUAACACGUGGGCAACCUGCCCUGAAGCGGGGGAUAACAUCUGGAAACAGGUGCUAAUACCGCAUAACAACGAAAACCACAUGGUUUUCGUUUCAAAGAUGGUUUCGGCUAUCACUUCAGGAUGGGCCCGCGGUGCAUUAGCUAGUUGGUAAGGUAACGGCUUACCAAGGCGAUGAUGCAUAGCCGAGUUGAGAGACUGAUCGGCCACAAUGGAACUGAGACACGGUCCAUACUCCUACGGGAGGCAGCAGUAGGGAAUCUUCCACAAUGGGCGCAAGCCUGAUGGAGCAACACCGCGUGAGUGAAGAAGGGUUUCGGCUCGUAAAGCUCUGUUGUUGGAGAAGAACGUGCGUGAGAGUAACUGUUCACGCAGUGACGGUAUCCAACCAGAAAGUCACGGCUAACUACGUGCCAGCAGCCGCGGUAAUACGUAGGUGGCAAGCGUUAUCCGGAUUUAUUGGGCGUAAAGCGAGCGCAGGCGGUUGCUUAGGUCUGAUGUGAAAGCCUUCGGCUUAACCGAAGAAGUGCAUCGGAAACCGGGCGACUUGAGUGCAGAAGAGGACAGUGGAACUCCAUGUGUAGCGGUGGAAUGCGUAGAUAUAUGGAAGAACACCAGUGGCGAAGGCGGCUGUCUGGUCUGCAACUGACGCUGAGGCUCGAAAGCAUGGGUAGCGAACAGGAUUAGAUACCCUGGUAGUCCAUGCCGUAAACGAUGAGUGCUAGGUGUUGGAGGGUUUCCGCCCUUCAGUGCCGGAGCUAACGCAUUAAGCACUCCGCCUGGGGAGUACGACCGCAAGGUUGAAACUCAAAGGAAUUGACGGGGGCCCGCACAAG
Molecule: ribosomal RNA, 966 nt
Filed under: Limosilactobacillus vaginalis
Lineage: Bacteria; Bacillati; Bacillota; Bacilli; Lactobacillales; Lactobacillaceae
Description: bacterial SSU rRNA
Rfam family: Bacterial small subunit ribosomal RNA
Source: RNAcentral